RNAcentral lists this transfer-messenger RNA (354 nucleotides) under Myxococcales bacterium. It matches the Rfam family "transfer-messenger RNA". Rfam says of the family: Bacterial tmRNA, also known as 10Sa RNA or SsrA, is named for its dual tRNA and mRNA-like properties. Its role is to liberate the mRNA from a stalled ribosome. To accomplish this part of the tmRNA is used as a reading frame that ends in a translation stop signal. Lineage: Bacteria; Pseudomonadati; Myxococcota; Myxococcia; Myxococcales. The record is from RNAcentral. RNAcentral also lists the same sequence under 1 other name.
GGGGGCGCUCCGGUUUCGACGGGGGUGUCUAGCUCUUGGUGGCGUGCAUGAGGUCCUGCAUCCUCACGAAACCUGCAGGACGUACAAAUGCGAACGACAACGCAUACGCGCUCGCGGCCUAAGAAACCGUAACGCCGUCCGAGGGUGAAGCCCGGCGAUGCUUCCCCGAGGGCGUGACCGAAUCGCCUGGCCAAUCCCCUCACCGCGCGGGGUGCGGCGAGAUGCAGUGCGGAGUAGGUGGUCGGGAAGGUUGUCGAUGGCCGUCCCGCUCGCCGAAUCAACACAUCGACUACGCACGUAGAGGCCGGAGUGAAGCGCUUUCGGACGCGGGUUCGACUCCCGCCGCCUCCACCA